GAUGAACGCUGGCGGCGUGCCUAAUACAUGCAAGUCGAGCGAACAGACGAGGAGCUUGCUCCUCUGACGUUAGCGGCGGACGGGUGAGUAACACGUGGAUAACCUACCUAUAAGACUGGGAUAACUUCGGGAAACCGGAGCUAAUACCGGAUAAUAUAUUUAACCGCAUGGUUCAAUAGUGAAAGACGGUUUUGCUGUCACUUAUAGAUGGAUCCGCGCCGCAUUAGCUAGUUGGUAAGGUAACGGCUUACCAAGGCAACGAUGCGUAGCCGACCUGAGAGGGUGAGCGGCCACACUGGAACUGAGACACGGUACAGACUCCUACGGGAGGCAGCAGUAGGGAAUCUUCCGCAAUGGGCGAAAGCCUGACGGAGCAACGCCGCGUGAGUGAUGAAGGUCUUCGGAUCGUAAAACUCUGUUAUUAGGGAAGAACAAAUGUGUAAGUAACUAUGCACGUCUUGACGGUACCUAAUCAGAAAGCCACGGCUAACUACGUG
RNAcentral lists this ribosomal RNA (497 nucleotides) under uncultured bacterium. RNAcentral describes it as "partial 16S ribosomal RNA". It matches the Rfam family "Bacterial small subunit ribosomal RNA", at positions 28 to 507 of the family's 1533-position model. The record is from RNAcentral.